UCUUUUUUUUUUUUUUUUCAAUUUUUAUGUUUUAUUAUUUUUGUCUUUUUGUUUUGUUUUUGCCUUAACUAAUAAUUAAUAAUACCCACUUUUAAAUAUUACUAAAUAUUGCUGAUAUUAUAAUUAUUAAUAUUCCUCUAAUUGUAUAUCCAAUUCUUUAUCAAUAGAAAAGUAACUCAAAAAUAAAUCACAAGGGUUUAAAUCCGUAAUAAAAGCAUAAAUUAAUAUUUAAAAAAAACAUUAAAUUCUACAUUUAGCGAGUCUUGAAAUUUUUUAUAAAUUUGAGGAAUGUUACAUUUGCAGUUUCUCUCUUUGUGUUUUUGGCCUCUGUUGUACCUGUGAUUUGUGCUGAAUUUUUCUUCUGUCUCUUUCUUCCUUUCUUUGUUUUACCCAAUUAUUGGUGAUGACAUUUUGAUAUAUAAAGCAACCAAUGUGAUUUGCGCUUGAUUUUCCUGAAUGUACGCUGCUGUGAUUUCAUUCAGGCUAUUCGAGCUCUUGAUAUGAGCCUUAUCGAGAGACGAUUGACGCUCAGAGAUGAGUUGAAUCUCACAAUCCAAAAGGUCGAACAAAGCGCAGGAGUGCUUUCACAACUUCUUCAGGGAAUGGAGGAGAAAAAGAUGUGUUUUUUGGUCAAGGAAUGCUAAGAAGAAGACCAGAAAGAAGACCAAACACCGUUACAUAUGCUUUAGCUAAUAUGUAGAUAUCUCAUAUGUGUUGUAGACACUUUAAGCAUACCUAAUGUGAUGUUCUCAUAGAUGAUAUUCGAAAUCAUACACAAUUAAUAAUAAUAGUAGUUUCAACUC
This is a long non-coding RNA of Nicotiana attenuata, 803 nucleotides long. RefSeq lists it as uncharacterized. The transcript has 2 exons. NCBI's taxonomy places the organism in Eukaryota, Viridiplantae, Streptophyta, Magnoliopsida, Solanales, Solanaceae. The record is from RefSeq and is a predicted model, not a curated record.